Molecule: transfer RNA, 87 nt
Filed under: Bacteroidota bacterium
Lineage: Bacteria; Pseudomonadati; Bacteroidota
Also listed under: 3 other names
Description: tRNA-Ser
Rfam family: tRNA
About the family: Transfer RNA (tRNA) molecules are approximately 80 nucleotides in length.
Source: RNAcentral
GGAAAGAUGCCGGAGUGGUUGAACGGGGCGGUCUCGAAAACCGUUGUACCCUUACGGGUACCCAGGGUUCGAAUCCCUGUCUUUCCG